GGAAUUUUGGACAAUGGGCGCAAGCCUGAUCCAGCAAUGCCGCGUGAGUGAAGAAGGCCUUCGGGUUGUAAAGCUCUUUUGUCAGGGAAGAAACGGUGGGAGCUAAUAUCUCCUGCUAAUGACGGUACCUGAAGAAUAAGCACCGGCUAACUACGUGCCAGCAGCCGCGGUAAUACGUAGGGUGCAAGCGUUAAUCGGAAUUACUGGGCGUAAAGCGUGCGCAGGCGGUUUUGUAAGUCUGAUGUGAAAUCCCCGGGCUCAACCUGGGAAUUGCAUUGGAGACUGCAAGGCUAGAAUCUGGCAGAGGGGGGUAGAAUUCCACGUGUAGCAGUGAAAUGCGUAGAUAUGUGGAGGAACACCGAUGGCGAAGGCAGCCCCCUGGGUCAAGAUUGACGCUCAUGCACGAAAGCGUGGGGAGCAAACAGGAUUAGAUACCCUAG
This 440-nucleotide ribosomal RNA is filed under the name uncultured Janthinobacterium sp. Its description in RNAcentral is "bacterial SSU rRNA". It matches the Rfam family "Bacterial small subunit ribosomal RNA", at positions 358 to 790 of the family's 1533-position model. Lineage: Bacteria; Pseudomonadati; Pseudomonadota; Betaproteobacteria; Burkholderiales; Oxalobacteraceae. The record is from RNAcentral.